UGCUUGUGAUCCAUGCCACUGUCAUAGAUGAAGUGAGGUAAAUUACAUUCGCAUUGUGACCUAGUUUGCUAUGUACAUGUAUCUGGUAUAAUAAGCACUAUGAUAUCACAGCCAUCUGUCUGAUCAAUGAGACAUCUACUAAGUGACCAAUGUGCAGGUUUCCAAUGCCUGGGGAAGAGGCUGAGUCCACAGUCAAAGGCUGGUGAAUAGCCACAGGCUUAGAUGUUGGCAAGGUUUCACGGUUUUGCUGUCUCCACAAAAAGAGCACCACCACCAACAAAAACCCUAUUCUUGAAAAACCACCCUGCAGGUAUGUCUCAGUAUUCUCAUGGCUACUGAGGUACCCUGUCAGGACUGUGUGUACCUGACCAGGCGUGGUGUUCAUUUCUGUGAUGAAAAUCUGUCUCUGACCCCAGAAAGUCUCCCAUUGGAAGAAGAGGUCAGAACUCACCAGCCUCAGUGCAGUAGCCAAUAUUUUAAGAUCUUAAAAUAUUUGCUGUGAGAUUUGUGGAGCCCUGAUGACUUGAUGGUGUUUGAUGUGUAGAAAUAGAGAGAUAAGAGUCUGAGCUGGGCCAAACCCGUAAAACUUUAACAGACAACGCAAUAAUUGACAAAAUUUUGCUACAAUGGGAGUAAUUAGAAUAAAGAAAAAUUCAAAUACAAAUUACAGUAGACAUGAAAGAACUACUUAGAAAAGGAAAGGAA
Molecule: long non-coding RNA, 705 nt
Filed under: Fukomys damarensis (Damara mole-rat)
Lineage: Eukaryota; Metazoa; Chordata; Mammalia; Rodentia; Bathyergidae
Description: lncRNA (ENSFDAG00000021991.1)
Source: RNAcentral